GGGCCUGGUGGAUAGAUCUCCUACGUCAUCAAGUAUGGAGUGUAGAUCCAUGAAUAGGUCUGGUGUUAGACGAAGUGUUGACAUCGAAGAAUCAGGGAGGAGGAGUAGUGGUUCCAUGGGUGCAAGAGAUUUGCCUUAUGCUGAUGACAGGUCAAAUCGGGAUUUACCUUUGGAGAAGUCUCUAGCUGAUGAGUCAACUUCAGUUGAUUCAUCCUUUUACAAUAGACAUAGUCAAAGCAACUCUGCUUUGAUUCCUCCAUCUGCUUUCCGAGGUGGAGUUGGCAGCCCUUCUUUUCUUGGUUCACUGGACGAAGAUUGUAGAAUUAAAAGUGGUGCCCGCUACAAGAGGAGU
This 352-nucleotide unclassified non-coding RNA is filed under the name Hevea brasiliensis (rubber tree). Lineage: Eukaryota; Viridiplantae; Streptophyta; Magnoliopsida; Malpighiales; Euphorbiaceae. The record is from RNAcentral.